CUCUGGUUCUGUUUCUAGGAGCAGGGAGACAAGAGUGAAUCACUGUGUUCUGAAAAGAAAUCCUUAGGAGACUUCUGCUUCUUUGGGAUGUUCACUGCAGGCAUACAGGAGGUGACAGUGUGGCUCGGCUAUUAAAAGCCACAAAGGCAUCAAGAAAGCUGACCACACUGCUCAGUUCCUGCCUCACCCUGGCAAGGGAAUUACAGGAUCCAGAAAACCAGACCCUCUUCUGAUGCCACACGCCAGCUCCUCAGCUCUCCCCAGAGUUCACAAGGUCAGAGAGUUGUGUGCUUCUGUGGCCACAUCAAGAGCCCAGGAUACAGCAGUCACUUAACCUUCACUCAGCUCAAGCACCUCCUCCUCCAGGGCCCCUUCCUCAGUGCUUCAUUUUGGUUAAUUUUUUUUUUCAGCAUUUUAGAUGGAGCACAGGGCCUCAUGCAUGCUAAGGCAAGUGAGUGCUCCCCCACUGAGUGUCAUCCUACUGCCAGCUCUUCAUCUUGUUGCAGCACCUGCCACGAUUAGAUCUUUAGCUGCCUUGCUAAGAGAAUAUUCCAUUGCUCCGGCCCACAAGAGGUGUUCCUGGGAGGCUCUGUCAGCGCAGGGUGGACCAGAGAAGCAGAGUGAGUCCAUGGGAAGUUCACCGAACCACGGCAUCAAGUACCACAGAAGACAGCCAAAGUCUGACCACAGGAGUACCUGAAUCCUCAAUCCCUUCCUUAGAACCCUUGCACACCACCAAGAUAUCUUCCCAGUCCCAAGUCAGGGAGUGCUGGACCAUAGGCCUUAGGGUCUCCAGGGUUCUUUACACUCUUAACGUCCCACAAGUCUACGAAGUGAUCCCUAUCUGACACCUAGCUUCCUGCGACCAAGGCUCUAGAAAACUUCCACCUGUUUUGCUUUGUGCCAGAGCAGGGUAAUGAGGGAGAGACAGGUGUGAGUAGUGUCAUAUGCCAAACACUGCGCUCACCAGUUACAAUGAAAAACCCCACAAGCUACUGCCGUCUGGACAGAAUCUGUGUGAUUGUAUUUUAUAUGAUAGAGAGAGACACGGAGAGGGCUUCUCAAUACCAAGCCAGGGAAGUUACAUGUGGCAGGCCCUCUCAAAGGCUUCUCCUGAUCCCUAGCAAGUGUAGAUGCCACAAAUACCUGGGCGCAGCAAGCUAUGAGUAAGAAGGAAGGGCAGCCAGGCCUCCUAGGAGCUGCACCUCCAAGAGGGACAGCAGCCGCUCUGGCCCCCACUCACCUUCUAAAGUCCUGAGGGACUGAAGAAACCUACAAUAUUCAGAUCCUAUUUUUGGAUAAUUCCACCCUUAGGCCUCCUCAGAAGGAGUUUUUCAAAGCAAAAUAAAAGAUAAACCAUAGGAAGUAGGAAGAUAGAUCUGUCUCAAAGGGGCAGGGAGUCAAGGAAGGAGCAGGAGGAAGGGGAGAGACAGGAGAUGAAAAAAGGAACUGGAAUGUGUUCUGUACAUGUCCAACUGCACACAAGGAAUGUAAUCAUGGACUACACACAGGUAGUAAUAAAAUAAAAAAAUUUAAGUAGUCUUUCACAAUUAGCACUCUCCACUAAGGCAUUUCAAUCCCAUUUCCCAAAGACAAGUGGGGACCCCUAAGGGCCCCAGUUCCUAUACCCAGCUAAAAUUUAAAAAUGCCCACCAUGCCCUAGUCUCUUUAUUUUCCUCUAACUCAAUAGUGCUAUGGCUCCAGCCUAUUCCCAGAGCCUCCCUGCAAACUCAGCCCCUGGAAAAGGGCCACCUCAUCUGUACCCAUCCUCUAGCUGGCUGUAGGGAUCUGGAAGUGGGGCCAGAGAUUCCAGAUCCCCAUGGUCAUGAGUGCAAAGUGGCCUAGGAAGGCCAUGAGCAAAGACCUCACGAGGCGUCUGCCUGAAAUUUGUCACUGACCAGCCACAAAGGAGGCAGCUGUCCCAUGUGUAGAUUAGACCACCAGCUCCAGCAGGAGGGUCUUAAAUGGGGUCCUCGUUCCAAGGAGCUGCAUCAGCCCUCCAACAUGGAGUAUAAAGGAGUCUCUGUGCAUGUGUAUAUUUGAGGCUAGGAAAACAGAACUCUCACACGAGUCUCCAAGGAGCUCAGGGCCCCAGUUCCUGGUCCUAACCCCAAACCCCACCUCCCUGGCCAUGGAGGUUUGGAGGCCAUUCCUGGGCCAGACUAGCUGGUCUCUCUGAUGGCCUCCUGUUCUUCCAGUGGCAGAAAGAGGACAGGAAGUGGGCAAGGGAUUUUGAAACCAACCCUGCUGUACAUACCCUCCAGCCUUCUGGAAGCCUAAACCAGGUUUCUCCCAGCAGCACCUCUCCAACCUAGAGAUGCCACCCUCCUCCCAGAUGGAAGUCUGGGCUUCACACCAGGUCCAGCAGGCCCAAACCCGGUGGUGAGAAGACCUUCUCCCUAAGAGAACCCCCAGGGUCCGUCACCUCCCUCUAGCACUCCCACUAACCACCAGGCUGGAAAGAGAAGGGAUGAGAGACCCAGAACAACUGCCUGAGACUUUUCUCCUGGGCCAGGCAGCUCAGGGUGCUGCAAGAUCACCAAGAGAAGCCUGGUGUCAUGGCACACACCUAUGACCCCGGCACUCCAGAGGUUGAGGCAAGAAUAUUGGGAAGCUCGAGGCCAACCUGGGCUACAUAGUGAGUUCAAAGCCAGCCUGAACUACAUAGUGAGACCCUGUCUCAGAAAACUGUCAAAUAAAUAAGUUAAAUCAAUCAAUAAAUAAAUGAUCGCUAAAGAAAACAGUUAUUCUCAAAGCUCCAAGAUCCUGCUUCCUAAGGAGCAG
RNAcentral lists this long non-coding RNA (2784 nucleotides) under Fukomys damarensis (Damara mole-rat). Its description in RNAcentral is "lncRNA (ENSFDAG00000029924.1)". The record is from RNAcentral. Lineage: Eukaryota; Metazoa; Chordata; Mammalia; Rodentia; Bathyergidae.